AAAUACCUUUGUUGGAACAGAGUGACAUCUGAAGUGUAUUUGCUGUUUUUGGCAGCUUUAAAAACAUUUCAUUGCCAACUUGGCUGUAAAGGUUGCCCCACACUCAGUACAUCUAAUGGAGGACUUGGAGCUGGAGUGAGGCUGUCUUCACCAGCAGAGGCCUGCUGGAAAGCGUUACAGCAUGUUGAGACUGAGGAAGGAUUAAGGAGAGAGUCUGAUGCAACA
Thunnus maccoyii (southern bluefin tuna) is the source of this 225-nucleotide long non-coding RNA. RefSeq lists it as uncharacterized. The record is from RefSeq and is a predicted model, not a curated record. The transcript has 3 exons. NCBI's taxonomy places the organism in Eukaryota, Metazoa, Chordata, Actinopteri, Scombriformes, Scombridae.